GUGCUCACUUCGGCAGCACAUAUAUUAAAAAUUGGAAUGAUACAGAGAAGAUUAGCAUGGCCCCUGUGCAAAGAUGACACGCAAAUUCAUGAAGCAUUCCAUAUUUUU
Molecule: small nuclear RNA, 108 nt
Filed under: Cercocebus atys (sooty mangabey)
Lineage: Eukaryota; Metazoa; Chordata; Mammalia; Primates; Cercopithecidae
Source: RNAcentral